AUUUAUAUAGCUUAUGUAGUAGUUUAAUAUUGAAGAUAUUAAGGAAGAAUAAAUAAUUUCUUAUAAAUA
This 69-nucleotide transfer RNA is filed under the name Balala lui. Its description in RNAcentral is "tRNA-Phe". The record is from RNAcentral. Lineage: Eukaryota; Metazoa; Arthropoda; Insecta; Hemiptera; Cicadellidae.